GAGGGUGAAAGCCCAUGACCCAUUGCAAUGCCGUGUUCUGCACGUUAAACAUAUUGUGUUGGCUUUGGACACACAUUAAAGACGCAAAAAGCCCUGUUUAUGAGUCUAAUGUAAAAGAACUUUACAACCAAUGACGUUGGAUCCCUUGGCAUGCCUGAUCGAUGAAGACCGUUGCCAACUGCGAUAAGUGGUGUGAUGCGCAAGUCUAAAACUUAUAAGUGAACCAUCGAAUUGUUGAACGCACUGCACCGAGCUCUACCCGAGCACGGUAUGUCCCAUUGAGCGCUAUUAAYGUCUUCGAGAGGGCUAAUCUUUGAUUGGCACCCGGGUUCRGAGUCCACAGUGCCCUUGCACUGCGUUCUCUCAGAUGGAUUUGAAUGGUGUCYGGUUGCACCGGAACCUCUAUGUCAUGAGAAUGCAUGGAGUGUCUGUUAAGUGCCCGAUGCCUGGGGCAGCACAGAUGGUGGCUGUCCAAGCAUUGUCAAUUGAGAAUGUAGCCUCACUGGGACAAGACAACCCGCUAGACUUAAGCAUAUUAAUCAGCGGAGGAAAAGAAACUAACUAGGAUUCCCUUAGUAACUGCGAGUGAAGCGGGAUGAGCUCAAUGUGUGAAU
Molecule: ribosomal RNA, 614 nt
Filed under: uncultured Tulasnella
Lineage: Eukaryota; Fungi; Basidiomycota; Agaricomycetes; Cantharellales; Tulasnellaceae
Description: eukaryotic LSU rRNA
Rfam family: Eukaryotic large subunit ribosomal RNA (bases 494-614)
Source: RNAcentral